UACGGGGGGGGCAAGCGUUGUUCGGAUUUAUUGGGCGUAAAGGGCGCGUAGGCGGCGGGGUAAGUCGGGUGUGAAAUCUCAGGGCUCAACCCUGAAACUGCACUUGAUACUGCUCUGCUUGAGGACUGGAGAGGAGACUGGAAUUCACGGUGUAGCAGUGAAAUGCGUAGAUAUCGUGAGGAAGACCAGUGGCGAAGGCGGGUCUCUGGACAGUUCCUGACGCUGAGGCGCGAAGGCCAGGGGAGCAAACGGG
RNAcentral lists this ribosomal RNA (253 nucleotides) under uncultured bacterium. RNAcentral describes it as "partial 16S ribosomal RNA". It matches the Rfam family "Bacterial small subunit ribosomal RNA", at positions 524 to 776 of the family's 1533-position model. The record is from RNAcentral.